RNAcentral lists this ribosomal RNA (482 nucleotides) under uncultured organism. Its description in RNAcentral is "bacterial SSU rRNA". It matches the Rfam family "Bacterial small subunit ribosomal RNA", at positions 28 to 507 of the family's 1533-position model. The record is from RNAcentral.
GACGAACGCUGGCGGCGCGCCUAACACAUGCAAGUCGAACGGAGUUAUAUUGGCAGAAGUUUUCGGACGGACGCGGAUAUAACUUAGUGGCGAACGGGUGAGUAACACGUGAGCAACCUACCCUUCAGAGGGGGACAACAGUUGGAAACGACUGCUAAUACCGCAUAAGACCACGGUGUGGCAUCACACAGAGGUCAAAGGAGAAAUCCGCUGAAGGAUGGGCUCGCGUCCAAUUAGCUAGAUGGUGAGGUAACGGCCCACCAUGGCGACGAUUGGUAGCCGGACUGAGAGGUUGAUCGGCCACAUUGGGACUGAGACACGGCCCAGACUCCUACGGGAGGCAGCAGUGGGGAAUAUUGCACAAUGGAGGAAACUCUGAUGCAGCGACGCCGCGUGAGGGAAGAAGGUCUUCGGAUUGUAAACCUCUGUUGUCAGGGACGAUGAUGACGGUACCUGACGAGGAAGCCACGGCUAACUACGUG